Molecule: non-coding RNA, 21 nt
Filed under: Mus musculus (house mouse)
Lineage: Eukaryota; Metazoa; Chordata; Mammalia; Rodentia; Muridae
Source: RNAcentral
UGAGCGCCUCGGCGACAGAGC